This 694-nucleotide ribosomal RNA is filed under the name uncultured euryarchaeote. RNAcentral describes it as "bacterial SSU rRNA". It matches the Rfam family "Archaeal small subunit ribosomal RNA", at positions 184 to 879 of the family's 1478-position model. Lineage: Archaea; Methanobacteriati; Methanobacteriota. The record is from RNAcentral.
CGGUUGAAAGCUUUAGCGUCUGAGGAUGGGUCUGCGGCCGAUUAGGUAGUUGCUGGGGUAACGUCCCAACAAGCCGAUAAUCGGUACGGGUUGUGAGAGCAAGAGCCCGGAGAUGGAUUCUGAGACACGAAUCCAGGUCCUACGGGGCGCAGCAGGCGCGAAAACUUUACACUGCGCGAAAGCGCGAUAAGGGGACCUCGAGUGCGUGCGCGAAGCGUACGCUUUUCAGAUGCCUAAAAAGCAUCUGGAAUAAGGGCCGGGCAAGACCGGUGCCAGCCGCCGCGGUAACACCGGCGGCUCAAGUGGUGGCCGCUAUUAUUGGGCUUAAAGGGUCCGUAGCCGGACCAGUUAGUCCCUUGGGAAAUCUUACGGCUUAACCGUAAGGCUGCCAAUGGAUACUGCUGGUCUUGGGACCGGGAGAGGCAAGAGGUACCUCAGGGGUAGGGGUGAAAUCCUGUAAUCCUUGAGGGACCGCCAGUGGCGAAGGCGUCUUGCUAGAACGGGUCCGACGGUGAGGGACGAAAGCUAGGGGCACGAACCGGAUUAGAUACCCGGGUAGUCCUAGCCGUAAACGAUGCGAGCUAGGUGUCACGCGGAUUGCGAAUCCAUGUGGUGCCGAAGGGAAACCGUGAAGCUCGCCGCCUGGGAAGUACGGCCGCAAGGCUGAAACUUAAAGGAAUUGGCGGGGGAGCAC